GACGAACGCUGGCGGCGUGCCUAAUACAUGCAAGUCGAACGCUUUUUCUUUCACCGGAGCUUGCUCCACCGAAAGAAAAAGAGUGGCGAACGGGUGAGUAACACGUGGGUAACCUGCCCAUCAGAAGGGGAUAACACUUGGAAACAGGUGCUAAUACCGUAUAACACUAUUUUCCGCAUGGAAGAAAGUUGAAAGGCGCUUUUGCGUCACUGAUGGAUGGACCCGCGGUGCAUUAGCUAGUUGGUGAGGUAACGGCUCACCAAGGCAACGAUGCAUAGCCGACCUGAGAGGGUGAUCGGCCACACUGGGACUGAGACACGGCCCAGACUCCUACGGGAGGUAGCAGUAGGGAAUCUUCGGCAAUGGACGAAAGUCUGACCGAGCAACGCCGCGUGAGUGAAGAAGGUUUUCGGAUCGUAAAACUCUGUUGUUAGAGAAGAACAAGGAUGAGAGUAGAACGUUCAUCCCUUGACGGUAUCUAACCAGAAAGCCACGACUAACUACGUGCCAGCCGCCGCCGUAA
RNAcentral lists this ribosomal RNA (523 nucleotides) under uncultured bacterium. RNAcentral describes it as "partial 16S ribosomal RNA". It matches the Rfam family "Bacterial small subunit ribosomal RNA", at positions 28 to 523 of the family's 1533-position model. The record is from RNAcentral.